CUUGCUAUGGUAUAACUUAGUGGCAGACGGGUGAGUAAUGUAUAGGAAUCUACCUAGUAGUACGGAAUAAUUGUUGGAAACGGCAACUAAUACCGUAUACGCCCUACGGGGAAAAAUUUAUUGCUAUUAGAUGAGCCUAUAUUAGAUUAGCUAGUUGGUGGAGUAAUAGCCUACCAAGGCAAUGAUCUAUAGCUGAUCUGAGAGGAUGAUCAGCCACACUGGAACUGAGAUACGGUCCAGACUCCUACGGGAGGCAGCAGUGGGGAAUAUUGGACAAUGGGCGAAAGCCUGAUCCAGCCAUGCCGCAUGAGUGAAGAAGGCCUUUGGGUUGUAAAGCUCUUUUAGUGAGGGAGAUAAUGACGGUACUCACAGAAGAAGUCCUGGCUAACUCCGUGCCAGCAGCCGCGGUAAUACGGAGAGGGCUAGCGUUAUUCGGAAUUAUUGGGCGUAAAGGGCGCGUAGGCUGGUUAAUAAGUUAAAAGUGAAAUCCCGAGGCUUAACCUUGGAAUUGCUUUUAAAACUAUUAAUCUAGAGAUUGAAAGAGGAUAGAGGAAUUCCUGAUGUAGAGGUAAAAUUCGUAAAUAUUAGGAGGAACACCAGUGGCGAAGGCGUCUAUCUGGUUCAAAUCUGACGCUGAGGCGCGAAGGCGUGGGGAGCAAACAGGAUUAGAUACCCUGGUAGUCCACGCUGUAAACGAUGAAUGUUAAAUAUGGGAAGUUUACUUUCUGUAUUAUAGCUAACGCGUUAAACAUUCCGCCUGGGGACUACGGUCGCAAGAUUAAAACUCAAAGGAAUUGACGGGG
Molecule: ribosomal RNA, 803 nt
Filed under: Wolbachia sp.
Lineage: Bacteria; Pseudomonadati; Pseudomonadota; Alphaproteobacteria; Rickettsiales; Anaplasmataceae
Description: bacterial SSU rRNA
Rfam family: Bacterial small subunit ribosomal RNA
Source: RNAcentral